This 423-nucleotide ribosomal RNA is filed under the name uncultured bacterium. RNAcentral's name for it is "bacterial SSU rRNA". It matches the Rfam family "Bacterial small subunit ribosomal RNA", at positions 207 to 622 of the family's 1533-position model. The record is from RNAcentral.
AAGACCUUGCGCUUUUGGAGCGGCCGAUGCCUGAUUAGCUUGUUGGUAAGGUAAAAGCUUACCAAGGCUUCGAUCAGUAGCUGGUCUGAGAGGACGGCCAGCCACACUGGGACUGAGACACGGCCCAGACUCCUACGGGAGGCAGCAGUGGGGAAUUUUGGACAAUGGGGGCAACCCUGAUCCAGCCAUGCCGCGUGAGUGAAGAAGGCCUUCGGGUUGUAAAGCUCUUUCAGCCGGAACGAAACGGUUACGGUUAAUACCCGUGACUACUGACGGUACCGGAAGAAGAAGUACCGGCUAACUACGUGCCAGCAGCCGCGGUAAUACGUAGGGUGCGAGCGUUAAUCGGAAUUACUGGGCGUAAAGCGUGCGCAGGUGGUUUUGUAAGUCAGAUGUGAAAGCCCCGGGCUCAACCUGGGAACU